AGGAAGGUAAUAAUCGUUUUGCCAUUGUAGUUGUAAAGGUAUAUUAAUUUUACUUUUUGGUUUUGAUUGCCAAAUGGUCUUAGUUCUCAACUAUAGUUCUCAACUACCGUUUAUAAUCUUUAUCCUCAUUUUUCAGCCAUAUAUUACUUAAAUUUUUUUUUCUGGUGAGCAGGAAAUGUCAUACAACAAUUAUCUGGGUGUUGACUCAGCGUGGAACUGCGUAUCAGAUUCUGAAAACCCGACAUGUGCAGUCAUGAAGCACACAAAUCCUUGUGGUGAGGCCUACCAGCUAGCUGUAAUAGCUGAUCCAGGUAGCACAUUUGGUGGUAUUGUAGCCACCAAUGUCAAAGUAGACAAGGGAUUGUUCGCAACAAAAAGAAAAGACAUCUAUUGUGUUACUGAUCACAAGCUCACCAUCUGUUUCACUCAGAAUAUUGUCCUCUCGGAGCUUCAAUACAACCCAGUUGUGAUCGAGAGAAACAUGUUCAGGUUCCGUUCAUUCCAAGAGUUUGAGGGGUGAUUUGUAUGAUAUCAUCGGCCCAUGAAGGUCAUCAAUUGACAGUCUCUCAGCAAACACCCGGUCUUGAACGGAGGCAGCACUCCCACCUACAGCCAAAACAAUGACCUAUGAUUAAUGUCUACCUUUGGGACCAGGCUUCUCAUGAGUCCCACAACAGGUUCAAUGAAAGUCUUGCCACUCUUGCUGUUGCAUUAGUAACAGCAGUUAACUCUAAACGUAUUGGACGUACCGUGCUGAGAUAUCUGUCUACGACAAUGUCGUUAAGGCAACUUUUGUGCUCCUUAGUAAUACUGGUCCUGAGUUAACAGGGAGGCAGGCGUUAGAGCUUAUUGACAAUUACUUCGAGGCUAAUGGGGACAUCGGUGCUAACCAUGAGAUGCCAACUCCACAAUGUCUGGUGGAAGUCUCAAGCUCCAACCUUACAGUUAAGAGACAGACCAUAAGUGUGACGAAGGUUGUUUCUCCUGCAGUUCUGCCACCAUUUGUAGUAGCAGAAAGCCAACCAGACGCAAUCGAUGAAGAGAGCACAUGCUCCUGGAUUAAUUCAUUUCUGUCAUAGGGAGUCUAGCAUAACUUUAUCCAAACUAUUUUUGAACUCUCUGUUCUU
Brassica oleracea var. oleracea is the source of this 1127-nucleotide long non-coding RNA. RefSeq lists it as uncharacterized. NCBI's taxonomy places the organism in Eukaryota, Viridiplantae, Streptophyta, Magnoliopsida, Brassicales, Brassicaceae. The record is from RefSeq and is a predicted model, not a curated record. The transcript has 6 exons.